The sequence is a ribosomal RNA, 698 nucleotides long. It matches the Rfam family "Eukaryotic large subunit ribosomal RNA", at positions 413 to 949 of the family's 3401-position model.
GUGGAAACGGAUGGAGCCAGCGCAUCUGGCCUGUAUUCAGCUAUUCGGCCGCUGGCGUCAGGGUGCCGCUUUCCAGACUGGGACGGUGCUUUGUGCUGCUGGUGGUCGCGUGGUGCAUUUGCAGGUGGAGUGCGCUGAGGCGCUUAGGGUAGCGGCAUGAACUCAGUUUUGAGGCCAGCCCGCAAGGGUCUGGUACCCGAGCUGGGGGAGUGCUGUUUGUCCUGGGUGUUGUCUCGAGUAUGGCUUACGGGCUCGGGUGGGCGCCGAGCUGGCAACCGGUGGCGGUCGCAUGCGACACGUGCCAGUGGUCAGUUCGGUCCUAUUCGAGCUCACAUGCUCAUCCUCGGUGUAAAAGCUGGUCAUCCAUCCGACCCGUCUUGAAACACGGACCAAGGAGUUUAGCGUGUGCGCGAGUCAUUGGGCGUUGAAAACCCAAAGGCGCAAUGAAAGUGAAGGUCCCGCAAGGGGCUGACGUGCGAUCUUGUGCACCACGGUGUGCAGGCGCAGCAUGGUCCCGUCCCGACUGCAUGCAGUGGGGCGGAGACAGAGCGUACGCGCUGAGACCCGAAAGAUGGUGAACUAUUCCUGAGCAGGAUGAAGUCAGAGGAAACUCUGAUGGAAGUCCGAAGCGAUUCUGACGUGCAAAUCGAUCGUCUGACUUGGGUAUAGGGGCGAAAGACUAAUCGAACCAUCUAGUA